GACGAACCGUGCGAGCGUUAUUCGGAAUCACUGGGCUUAAAGGGCGCGUAGGCGGGCAGUCAAGUCAGGGGUGAAAUCCCACGGCUCAACCGUGGAAGGGCCUUUGAUACUGGCUGUCUCGAGGGAGGUAGGGGCGUGCGGAACUUCCGGUGGAGCGGUGAAAUGCGUAGAUAUCGGAAGGAACGCCGGUGGCGAAAGCGGCGCGCUGGACCUCUUCUGACGCUGAGGCGCGAAAGCCAGGGGAGCAAACGGG
This 253-nucleotide ribosomal RNA is filed under the name uncultured bacterium. Its description in RNAcentral is "partial 16S ribosomal RNA". It matches the Rfam family "Bacterial small subunit ribosomal RNA", at positions 524 to 776 of the family's 1533-position model. The record is from RNAcentral.